UACGAAGGGGGCGAGCGUUGUUCGGAUUUACUGGGCGUAAAGCGUGCGCAGGCGGUUUUGUAAGCCAGAUGUGAAAGCCCCGGGCUUAACCUGGGAAUGGCAUUUGGGACUGCAAGGCUUGAGUGCGGCAGAGGAGACUGGAAUUCCUGGUGUAGCAGUGAAAUGCGUAGAUAUCAGGAGGAAUACCGAUGGCGAAGGCAGGUCUCUGGGCUGACACUGACGCUCAUGCACGAAAGCGUGGGGAGCAAACAGG
This 253-nucleotide ribosomal RNA is filed under the name uncultured bacterium. Its description in RNAcentral is "partial 16S ribosomal RNA". It matches the Rfam family "Bacterial small subunit ribosomal RNA", at positions 524 to 776 of the family's 1533-position model. The record is from RNAcentral.